Molecule: ribosomal RNA, 1372 nt
Filed under: uncultured bacterium
Lineage: Bacteria
Description: bacterial SSU rRNA
Rfam family: Bacterial small subunit ribosomal RNA
Source: RNAcentral
GAUGAACGCUGGCGGCGUGCCUAAUACAUACAAGUCGAGCGAACGGACGAGAAGCUUGCUUCUCUGAUGUUAGCGGCGGACGGGUGAGUAACACGUGGAUAACCUACCUAUAAGACUGGGAUAACUUCGGGAAACCGGAGCUAAUACCGGAUAAUAUUUUGAACCGCAUGGUUCAAAAGUGAAAGACGGUCUUGCUGUCACUUAUAGAUGGAUCCGCGCUGCAUUAGCUAGUUGGUAAGGUAACGGCUUACCAAGGCAACGAUGCAUAGCCGACCUGAGAGGGUGAUCGGCCACACUGGAACUGAGACACGGUCCAGACUCCUACGGGAGGCAGCAGUAGGGAAUCUUCCGCAAUGGGCGAAAGCCUGACGGAGCAACGCCGCGUGAGUGAUGAAGGUCUUCGGAUCGUAAAACUCUGUUAUUAGGGAAGAACAUAUGUGUAAGUAACUGUGCACAUCUUGACGGUACCUAAUCAGAAAGCCACGGCUAACUACGUGCCAGCAGCCGCGGUAAUACGUAGGUGGCAAGCGUUAUCCGGAAUUAUUGGGCGUAAAGCGCGCGUAGGCGGUUUUUUAAGUCUGAUGUGAAAGCCCACGGCUCAACCGUGGAGGGUCAUUGGAAACUGGAAAACUUGAGUGCAGAAGAGGAAAGUGGAAUUCCAUGUGUAGCGGUGAAAUGCGCAGAGAUAUGGAGGAACACCAGUGGCGAAGGCGACUUUCUGGUCUGUAACUGACGCUGAUGUGCGAAAGCGUGGGGAUCAAACAGGAUUAGAUACCCUGGUAGUCCACGCCGUAAACGAUGAGUGCUAAGUGUUAGGGGGUUUCCGCCCCUUAGUGCUGCAGCUAACGCAUUAAGCACUCCGCCUGGGGAGUACGACCGCAAGGUUGAAACUCAAAGGAAUUGACGGGGACCCGCACAAGCGGUGGAGCAUGUGGUUUAAUUCGAAGCAACGCGAAGAACCUUACCAAAUCUUGACAUCCUUUGACAACUCUAGAGAUAGAGCUUUCCCCUUCGGGGGACAAAGUGACAGGUGGUGCAUGGUUGUCGUCAGCUCGUGUCGUGAGAUGUUGGGUUAAGUCCCGCAACGAGCGCAACCCUUAAGCUUAGUUGCCAUCAUUAAGUUGGGCACUCUAAGUUGACUGCCGGUGACAAACCGGAGGAAGGUGGGGAUGACGUCAAAUCAUCAUGCCCCUUAUGAUUUGGGCUACACACGUGCUACAAUGGACAAUACAAAGGGCAGCGAAACCGCGAGGUCAAGCAAAUCCCAUAAAGUUGUUCUCAGUUCGGAUUGUAGUCUGCAACUCGACUACAUGAAGCUGGAAUCGCUAGUAAUCGUAGAUCAGCAUGCUACGGUGAAUACGUUCCCGGGUCU